This 97-nucleotide non-coding RNA is filed under the name Treponema saccharophilum. RNAcentral describes it as "Glycine sequence". It matches the Rfam family "Glycine riboswitch aptamer". From Rfam's summary of the family: This family represents the bacterial glycine riboswitch. Glycine riboswitches usually consist of two metabolite-binding aptamers domains with similar structures in tandem. Lineage: Bacteria; Pseudomonadati; Spirochaetota; Spirochaetia; Treponematales; Treponemataceae. RNAcentral also lists the same sequence under 1 other name. The record is from RNAcentral.
GGAGGAUUCUCUGGAGAGUCCCCGUUUUUGUGCGGGGCGCCGAAGGGUUACGGCUAUUAGAGCUUAUAUCUCAGGCAAAAAGGACAGGGGAUUUUUC